RNAcentral lists this ribosomal RNA (429 nucleotides) under Gemmatimonadota bacterium. RNAcentral's name for it is "Gemmatimonadetes bacterium partial 16S ribosomal RNA". It matches the Rfam family "Bacterial small subunit ribosomal RNA", at positions 355 to 776 of the family's 1533-position model. Lineage: Bacteria; Pseudomonadati; Gemmatimonadota. The record is from RNAcentral.
UAGGGAAUCUUCGGCAAUGGACGAAAGUCUGACCGAGCAACGCCGCGUGAGUGAAGAAGGUUUCCGGAUCGUAAAACUCUGUUGUUAGAGAAGAACAAGGACGUUAGUAACUGAACGUCCCCUGACGGUAUCUAACCAGAAAGCCACGGCUAACUACGUGCCAGCAGCCGCGGUAAUACGUAGGUGGCAAGCGUUGUCCGGAUUUAUUGGGCGUAAAGCGAGCGCAGGCGGUUUCUUAAGUCUGAUGUGAAAGCCCCCGGCUCAACCGGGGAGGGUCAUUGGAAACUGGGAGACUUGAGUGCAGAAGAGGAGAGUGGAAUUCCAUUUGUAGCGAUGACAUGCGUAGAUAUAUGGAGGAACACCAGUGGCGAAGGCGGCUCUCUGGUCUGUAACUGCCGCUGAGGCUCGAAAGCGUGGGGAGCAAACAGG